This 253-nucleotide ribosomal RNA is filed under the name uncultured bacterium. RNAcentral's name for it is "partial 16S ribosomal RNA". It matches the Rfam family "Bacterial small subunit ribosomal RNA", at positions 525 to 776 of the family's 1533-position model. The record is from RNAcentral.
ACAGAGGGUGCGAGCGUUAAUCGGAAUUACUGGGCGUAAAGCGAGUGUAGGUGGCUCAUUAAGUCACAUGUGAAAUCCCCGGGCUUAACCUGGGAACUGCAUGUGAUACUGGUGGUGCUAGAAUAUGUGAGAGGGAAGUAGAAUUCCAGGUGUAGCGGUGAAAUGCGUAGAGAUCUGGAGGAAUACCGAUGGCGAAGGCAGCUUCCUGGCAUAAUAUUGACACUGAGAUUCGAAAGCGUGGGUAGCAAACAGG